AAGCUGAGCUCUUCCAGCUCUACCACCGCUGUCAUCUUUGUAAAGUAUUCCUAUUUGAAUUUUCCUCUUCAUUUAAUACAAGACCAGAAAGGGUAAAACCAAGGAUUUGACAGUGCCGUAAACCAGUCUUUUAUUAUCAAGUGUUGUUCUGUCAAGAUUAGAGCCAUCCCUCUUCAACCUCAGACAAUUAAGACUGUAAAUGCAAAGAGGAGACUCAUUUCAUCUGCUUGGAAUUGGACAAACUCAGAAGCCAGGAUGAAAACUGGCCAGGACAAUGCCAUGCUCCACCUCACAGAACAGAGAUCCACAUGAAAGAGUGAAAAGGAGCCUGGCUCCUCCUCCAGCAACGGAAGAUGUGGGUCAAUAGAGAAAGGUGUAAACUGAUACAAAUCGGACAUUUGGAUUCUGUGUAUGAAGGGCAGGCACCACUGACUUCCAUCAAAGUUGUAGGAAUUAAAAAAACUGGUGGUGUUUUAUAUGGAAUACUUAAAUUCUUUCAGUGUAAAUUACUUUUGUUAUUAACUUCUAUGAAACUGGACCAUUAACAAUCCUGUAUGUGUUACUUUCCUCCUAGUUAUCACUGCAGUCAACUGCAAGCGUUACUUUACUCUUUUAAUGUUAUUUUACUAUUUUAACUGGAAUACAGCCUUGAAAAAGUGCAAGCACUAUUCAUAAUACAACGUUGAGAUUAUUAAAGUUAGAGAUAUACAAACACAGUAAAAGAUAAAAAAACUAUAUUUGGGUUAAUUUGUGGGCUUCUUUUCUGUAAAAAUAAACUUUGGAAGUCUCUUAAAAACCUCUUGUGUAUUCUCAGAAACAUCCUUAACUCAUUAUAAGCUGAACUGUCACUUUUAUUAUUGUGUGUAUUAGACAUUGCUUAAAUUAAAAACAUUAAUCAGAAAACUGCUGUCCUAACCAAAGAAAAUAUUGCCCAGUCUAAAAUUCAAAUAUUAAAUAAUGUAAUUUAUAGUCUGUGGGGCUCAUAAGAUCUG
Long non-coding RNA from Pseudopipra pipra, 992 nucleotides. RefSeq lists it as uncharacterized. Lineage: Eukaryota; Metazoa; Chordata; Aves; Passeriformes; Pipridae. The transcript is spliced from 3 exons. The record is from RefSeq and is a predicted model, not a curated record.